RNAcentral lists this small RNA (3268 nucleotides) under Vigna angularis var. angularis. RNAcentral's name for it is "Non-protein coding transcript". Lineage: Eukaryota; Viridiplantae; Streptophyta; Magnoliopsida; Fabales; Fabaceae. The record is from RNAcentral.
CUUCGUGAAACAUUAGGGAGAUGGUUUACUCAGCAGAUAUUAGGAAGAGACAAAUGAAAUGAAAAGGAAAAACUGACUUCUGCAGCUGCGAUGAUAAGUGAGGAAGUUAAUGGCAAACGUUUUAACCAAAAUGGUUAUCAAUACUAGUUGUUUGGAUCCACAAGUAACAUCAGGAGAACCUACUCCAAGAGGUAUAUAGCCCACAAAUUUGAAUUCUAAAUCCAAAAUAAAUAAAACCAAAAACAAAAUGAUGCAUCCGGAAAGAUAAAACAAAUACUCUCUCAUCGAUCUACCUACAGAGUUAUCGGGCUGCUUGACCUUGUGCAUGCUCCAGAAGUUGACUAACCAAUUUGUAGGUGCGCCCGUUAAGGGCCUUGGUAUGGUCUAUCAGUUGCUCUUACACGUUUGGAUGAUUAGGCUCCAUGAUAACGGUUCCAGUGUGAGAGUCAAUUUUCGCAUCAAGCUUUGAGCUACGGAUGAGAUUAACAAUCCAUCUCUCAGCCUCCUCAUAAUUCAGAUUUAACUUCUCAGCAAGCACUCUGAAAAAUAUCACAAGUGAGCAACCCUAUCUUAUAAUUUUGGUUACAGAUCCCCAAUAUGUCAUUUAGGUGCGUAACAUGAAAAGUAGACCACAGGAAACCGUAUAUAAUAAAACAUAACAUCAUAUAACAAAAAAGAUAUAAAUUUGGGAAAUACAGUCAAGACCUAGAGUAAAACCUUUCAAGGCCACAAAAUAAGAGGAACAAAAGAUCAAUGGCAGAGCUACAUUGUGUUUUCACAGGUGCAAAGUUAUUGCAUAUUGGAAAAAUUAUAAAGCCAGAUAGAUAGCUAUGACUUCUUAUACUAGAAAAGUGCAUACCCCAUGUCAAUACGUUGAUGUAUUCUACAGUAUGUCUCAAAGAUAAAUAGCCUAGCAUUUUCAAGGAACUCAUCCCUCAGUGGUACAGUUGAAAAGUUGCUUUCUUCAACCCUUUUCCCAAGGAAGGGAUCAUUGAGAAUUACCUGCAAUUUAAAAAUGAGUAAGUAUAAUAUAAUCAAGCCACAUGAAUACAGGUAUCAUGGACAUAUAUGAAAAAAGGGAAACUGAACAAGCCACUUGAGUUACAUCAUUCCUAUAGUUGAUAUAUGUUAUCUAGCAAAAGAAAAAAAAACAAGCUUACUUCUUCACAUUCCCUCAUCUUCUUCUGUGCCCCAUCAAAGUCAUAGUUGACGUAAACACAAGCCAAAAACUCAGUGAUGGGAUCUUUAUAUGAAUGCUGCUCUUGUUGAAUAACUUUAAUAAAGUCUUUGAAUUGUGGCCUCCUUCUCUUGUUAACAAUGAAUGCUGUGGCCAAGUAUCGUAAAAGGUGUGGGGCACUAGUUUGGAUAGCAUUUAGAUACUUGUCCUGAUUGAACAGAUCAAUUAUUUGUGUUCUUCCAUUGUCAUGAUUAAAAAAGAUGAAUAGACUCCAAUGCAUCAGCCAUAUUCUGCUCUGCACCUGGUUCAAAGGCGAUGCAAAACUCUGCAACAAAGUUCUCGAAUUUGUAUUAAUAUAAUAAGCAUAACAAACAAGUACAUGUAUCCACUUCAAAAAUCAACUGACAAAAGAGAACAACCUUUGAGUCAAUGAUUUCCUUCAAGCGAUUGAGCUCUUCAAGAGCAAUGUCCCAGUUCUGCAUCAAAAUUUCAGCUGCCAGCUUCCCCCACAAUGCACUCAAGCUCCUCUCACUAUUUGUGCACAAAGCUCUGUACUGAUAAAGAUAGUCAGCAGCACCAGAGUAGUUCCCACACUCAAACUGAAACUUGGCAUAUUGGUAAAGUGCCUCUAUUUGUGCAGGACCAAUCUGUUCCAACAAACACAUAAUUUAAGCAGUCAGCAAAACAACAAAAUUCAAACUUCAAAACUGAAACAAAUCUUUUAAGAACCACUAAAUAUAACAGCAAACAACUAAGAAAACAAAAUGCUUAAAUAAGAUUAGGAAACAAUCAAAGCAAUCACAUUACCAAUAUACAAUCUCUAUCAAAAGCUUAUAAGAGAGAAAUUAUUAAAAAAAGUGUAGUCAGUUACCUUAAAUAAUUUUCUAAAGCUUAGUAGUCUAAAGAACCUUUUGGGUAUCUAGUACUCCUAUCCCACCAUCCAAAGCUGCUAAAAAUAACCUUAUAAUUCUUGUACAAAGACUCCAGUCCUAGUAUACCAAACCCGACAAGCAAUAAAAUCCUUCAAAAAAAAUCAACACAUUUUAUCCAAACUCUAUGUAAUCAAAGGCAUGUCAAUUGUUAUAAAAAAAAUAUUCGACUGUUUCGCGACAGCUUCGUAUCCUCAUUAACAAGGGGCAAUUCUAAACCUUACUAGCAUAAUAACAUCACUAAAAACCUUUAGAGCAACUAUUAUAUCCUAUCCUACCACUACCAGCCAAAGCUUACCUAAAGUUAUCAAUUUGUUCUCAACAUUCCAAUCCUAAUCCACCAACUCCAAUUCUUUUCCAAACACCACUAACUAAAGCGACGUUUAAAACCCAAUUGCCAUGCAACACUCUCAUAGGAAUAUCUAGCCAUGUGAGGACUGAUUAUUAUUUUGCUUCAAACCUGAUAUCGCUCAUUGAGCAUCUGGAGGUUAUACUGCUUGUCAGCACGAAGCUCCUGCACGGCGGCAGCGUUCUGGAGGAAGGAGACGAGGGGCGCGGCGGCCUCCUCGAGGGACUUGAGGCGGGCGACAACCUCGGCUCGGCGCUCAACCAUGUCAUGAGGAACAUCCUCGGUGUGGUAGAGACUCUUGUGGAUGUCCAUGGCGUAAUCAACCAUGUUGGUGUUGUUGAGGAGGUCGAUCUUCGCCUUCAGGAUGAGGUCAUCGUCGUAUAGCUGGCGCUCCUGCAGAAACUCCAGGAGAGGGAACACCAAAUGCCUGUCGAGGUUCGGCGCCAUCCGAGGGGUAAGGUCGUAAUCAGCCAUUUUUCUCCACACGUCGGAUUCGAUUCCAAAUUCUUACUUCUUCUGCUGGCGCACAGGCAAAUACUGAUUCAAACACUGAUUGAUACAAUACAAUAAAAUAAUCUAUUUGUGAUGUGUUCCGAUAAAUCGGAGUGUUGAGGAAAGGAAACGUGUUUUCCGUGCGACGGUGGUGGAUGAGCGAAAACCUACCUCCUACUGCUGCUGCUGCGGCGUCGUGUGGAGAUAGGGCUCCGACAGAGGCAAGAUGCAGAGACGCAACACUGAGUAUUCGAGAAUAGGGUUUAAAAGCAAGAAGACUAAACGGUAUCGUUUAAGACUUUGGUAAAAUGAGAGAAAAAU